UUCACAGAAAGCUCAGCACUAAAAACCAGU
Molecule: non-coding RNA, 30 nt
Filed under: Rattus norvegicus (Norway rat)
Lineage: Eukaryota; Metazoa; Chordata; Mammalia; Rodentia; Muridae
Source: RNAcentral